UGGGGAAUAUUGCGCAAUGGGCGGAAGCCUGACGCAGCGACGCCGCGUGGGGGAUGACGGCCUUCGGGUUGUAAACCUCUUUCGACCUCGACGAAGCUUUUCGGAGUGACGGUAGGGGUGGAAGAAGCACCGGCCAACUACGUGCCAGCAGCCGCGGUAACACGUAGGGUGCGAGCGUUGUCCGGAAUUAUUGGGCGUAAAGAGCUCGUAGGCGGUGUGUCACGUCGGCCGUGAAAACCUGCAGCUUAACUGUGGGCGUGCGGUCGAUACGGGCAUCACUGGAGUUCGGCAGGGGAGACUGGAAUUCCUGGUGUAGCGGUGAAAUGCGCAGAUAUCAGGAGGAACACCGGUGGCGAAGGCGGGUCUCUGGGCCGAUACUGACGCUGAGGAGCGAAAGCGUGGGGAGCGAACA
RNAcentral lists this ribosomal RNA (412 nucleotides) under uncultured Pseudonocardia sp. RNAcentral describes it as "bacterial SSU rRNA". It matches the Rfam family "Bacterial small subunit ribosomal RNA", at positions 355 to 774 of the family's 1533-position model. Lineage: Bacteria; Bacillati; Actinomycetota; Actinomycetes; Pseudonocardiales; Pseudonocardiaceae. The record is from RNAcentral.